RNAcentral lists this ribosomal RNA (497 nucleotides) under uncultured bacterium. Its description in RNAcentral is "partial 16S ribosomal RNA". It matches the Rfam family "Bacterial small subunit ribosomal RNA", at positions 28 to 507 of the family's 1533-position model. The record is from RNAcentral.
GACGAACGCUGGCGGCGUGCCUAAUACAUGCAAGUAGAACGCUGAAGCGAGGAGCUUGCUCUUCUUGGAUGAGUUGCGAACGGGUGAGUAACGCGUAGGUAACCUGCCUUGUAACGGGGGAUAACUAUUGGAAACGAUAGCUAAUACCGCAUAACAAUGGAUGACACAUGUCAUUUAUUUGAAAGGGGCAAUUGCUCCACUACAAGAUGGACCUGCGUUGUAUUAGCUAGUAGGUGAGGUAAUGGCUCACCUAGGCGACGAUACAUAGCCGACCUGAGAGGGUGAUCGGCCACACUGGGACUGAGACACGGCCCAGACUCCUACGGGAGGCAGCAGUAGGGAAUCUUCGGCAAUGGGGGCAACCCUGACCGAGCAACGCCGCGUGAGUGAAGAAGGUUUUCGGAUCGUAAAGCUCUGUUGUAAGUCAAGAACGGGUGUGAGAGUGGAAAGUUCACACUGUGACGGUAGCUUACCAGAAAGGGACGGCUAACUACGUG